UACGGGGGGGGUAAGCGUUGUUCGGAAUUACUGGGCGUAAAGGGCUCGUAGGCGGCCAACUAAGUCAUACGUGAAAUCCCUCAGCUUAACUGGGGAACUGCGUGUGAUACUGGAUGGCUUGGAUUUGGGAGAGGGAUGCGGAAUUCCAGGUGUAGCGGUGAAAUGCGUAGAUAUCUGGAGGAACACCGGUGGCGAAGGCGGCAUCAUGGACCAAUAUUGACGCUGAGGAGCGAAAGCUAGGGGAGCAAACGGG
Molecule: ribosomal RNA, 253 nt
Filed under: uncultured bacterium
Lineage: Bacteria
Description: partial 16S ribosomal RNA
Rfam family: Bacterial small subunit ribosomal RNA
Source: RNAcentral